CAGGGUGUUACGGUACAGAGUCAAUGUGGAGGCUAUAUACAGAGUGUUACGGUACAGAGUCAGUGUGGAGGCUAUAUACAGGGUGUUACGGUACAGAUUCAAUGUGGAGGCUAUAUACAGGGUGUUACGGUACAGAGUCAAUGUGGAGGCUAUAUACAGGGUGUUACGGUACAGAGUCAAUGUGGAGGCUAUAUACAGGGUGUACCGGUACAGAGUCAAUGUGGAGGCUGUAUACAGGGUGUUACGGUACAGAGUCAAUGUGGAGGCAAUAUACAGGGUGUUACGGUACAGAGUCAAUGUGGAGGCUAUAUACAGGGUGUUACGGUACAGAGUCAAUGUGGAGGCUAUAUACAGGGUGUACCGGUACAGAGUCAAUGUGGAGGCUAUAUACAGGGGUACCGGUAGAGAGUCAAUGUGGAGGCUAAAUAUAGGGGGUACCGGUACAGAGUCAAUGUGGAGGCUAUAUACAGGGGGAACCGGUACAGAGUCAAUAUGGAGGCUAUAUACAGG
Oncorhynchus tshawytscha (Chinook salmon) is the source of this 510-nucleotide long non-coding RNA. The record is from Ensembl. Lineage: Eukaryota; Metazoa; Chordata; Actinopteri; Salmoniformes; Salmonidae.